AAAGAAGAGAGAAAAGGCAACCAAGAGAAAUCUAGUGUAAGCGUAUUAAAAGUUCUUAUUUUCUCAGUUUUCAAAAAAAAAUGUGUAAGCAUGGAUAGAGUCUAACUUUUUUCUACUAGCAGUUGUAAGUUUUCAGGGGACUCCAAAAGGGGAACCUCUCUUCUUCUUAAGGCAUGUAAAUAGUUGUAUAUAUUACUACUAUAUAGAAGAGCGAGUAGCAGCUCUCGGAAGCAGGUAGAUGACGAUCGACAUGUCUGCUUCUUGCUGCCUGCUUUCUCCAUAAUUUUACUGUAUCAUUCCUAAUUAAUUAUUAUAUGACAUUUACGUAUUAAAAAAUUAAUAAAAUUUAAUUUUUAAAAAAAUAAAAUAGAUAUUUAUGACAUGUCCGCUUCAGCUGCUUCAAUCGUAAUUUUUCUAUAUCGACCCUAAGUAAUUAUUAUAGAUCAGUUAAGUAUAAAAAAAUCAAUAAUAUUUAAUAAGAAAACUAAAAUAAACAUAAAAUGAUAAAUUAACUCUUGAUGUUUUAAAUUAAUUUGACAUUUAUAUGAGGCUUACUUAAAAAAAAUUCACAUGUAUUUUUUAUAGUAAUUUUUCUAUAUCACUUCUAAUUGGUUAUUAUGAGUCAUUCAAGACAUACCGAUUUUGCUACUUCAAUCGUGUUACGAUAUAUAAGUGUGAGUAGUAGUUGCUGGAAGCAAGCAGCUAGUGGUUGUCAUGCAUACUUUCAGUUGUCUGCUUGC
This 740-nucleotide long non-coding RNA is filed under the name Capsicum annuum. RNAcentral's name for it is "long non-coding RNA (CANN_LNC012832)". The record is from RNAcentral. Lineage: Eukaryota; Viridiplantae; Streptophyta; Magnoliopsida; Solanales; Solanaceae.